CCUACGGGGGGCAGCAGUCGGGAAUAUUGGACAAUGGGCGAAAGCCUGAUCCAGCCAUGCCGCGUGUGUGAAGAAGGCCUUCGGGUUGUAAAGCACUUUCAGUGGGGAAGAAAGCCUUGGGGCUAAUACCCUCGAGGAAGGACAUCACCCACAGAAGAAGCACCGGCUAACUCCGUGCCAGCAGCCGCGGUAAUACGGAGGGUGCGAGCGUUAAUCGGAAUUACUGGGCGUAAAGCGCGCGUAGGCGGUCUGAUAAGCCGGUUGUGAAAGCCCCGGGCUCAACCUGGGAACGGCAUCCGGAACUGUCAGGCUAGAGUGCAGGAGAGGAAGGUAGAAUUCCCGGUGUAGCGGUGAAAUGCGUAGAGAUCGGGAGGAAUACCAGUGGCGAAGGCGGCCUUCUGGACUGACACUGACGCUGAGGUGCGAAAGCGUGGGUAGCAAACAGGAUUAGAUACCCCAGUAGUC
This 465-nucleotide ribosomal RNA is filed under the name Vreelandella stevensii. Its description in RNAcentral is "partial 16S ribosomal RNA". It matches the Rfam family "Bacterial small subunit ribosomal RNA", at positions 338 to 795 of the family's 1533-position model. The record is from RNAcentral. Lineage: Bacteria; Pseudomonadati; Pseudomonadota; Gammaproteobacteria; Oceanospirillales; Halomonadaceae.